RNAcentral lists this transfer RNA (68 nucleotides) under Brachymeles apus. RNAcentral's name for it is "tRNA-Ala". It matches the Rfam family "tRNA". Rfam says of the family: Transfer RNA (tRNA) molecules are approximately 80 nucleotides in length. Lineage: Eukaryota; Metazoa; Chordata; Lepidosauria; Squamata; Scincidae. The record is from RNAcentral.
GAGGUGUUAGUUCAAUUAAAGCGUCUGAGUUGCAAUUAGGAGAUGCAGGUUAGAGUCUUGCACACCUU